This 253-nucleotide ribosomal RNA is filed under the name uncultured bacterium. Its description in RNAcentral is "partial 16S ribosomal RNA". It matches the Rfam family "Bacterial small subunit ribosomal RNA", at positions 524 to 776 of the family's 1533-position model. The record is from RNAcentral.
UACGUAGGGUGCGAGCGUUAAUCGGAAUUACUGGGCGUAAAGCGUGCGCAGGCGGUUUGUUUCGGCGGGGGUGAAAUCCCCGGGCUUAACCUGGGAAUGGCCAUGGAAACUGGCGAACUGGAGUGUGGCAGAGGGGGGUGGAAUUCCGCGUGUAGCAGUGAAAUGCGUAGAGAUGCGGAGGAACACCAGUGGCGAAAGCGCCUUUCUGGUCCUUAACUGACGCUGAGGCGCGAAAGCAUGGGGAGCGAACGGG